GGUGGUGAAGCUGGGAAAGGGUUCCAGGAUGGUGGAGCGAGAGCGAGUUGGUGAUGAAGCUAGCUGGCGGCUUGGCUUGUCAACUGCGCGGAGGAGGCGAGCAGGCAUUGUGGAGAGGAUAGAUAGCGGCUCCUAGACCAGCAUGCCAGUGUGCAAGAAAGGCUGCAGGGAGAGCAUGCGGUGCGGUAACAUUCCUUGAGGUCGGCAACAUGGUGGUGGUUUUCUGUAACUUGGAUGGUGACUUAAUGUAUCUUAAUAACUACUAUAGGAACAAAGGAAGUGGCUUUAAUGACCCUGAAGGAAUUUCUUCUGGUGAUAGCUUUUAUAUUAUCAAGUAAGAGAUACUAUCUCAGUUUUGUAUAAGCAAGUCUUUUUCCUAGUGUAGGAGAAAUGAUUUUCCUUGUGACUAAACAAGAUGUAAAGGUAUGCUUUUUUUCUUCUUGUGCAUUGUAUACUUGUGUUUAUUUGUAACUUAUAAUUUAAGAAUUAUGAUAAUUCAGCCUGAAUGUCUUUUAGAGGGUGGGCUUUUGUUGAUGAGGGAGGGGAAACCUUUUUUUUUCUGUAGACCUUUUUCAGAUAACACCAUCUGAGUCAUAACCAGCCUGGCAGUGUGAUGACGUAGAUGCAGAGGGAGCAGCUCCUUGGUGAAUGAGUGAUAAGUAAAGGCAGAAAAAAUAAUGUCAUGUCUCCAUGGGGAAUGAGCAUGAGCCAGAGAUUGUUCCUACUGAUGAAAAGCUGCAUAUGCAAAAAUUUAAGCAAAUGAAAGCAACCAGUAUAAAGUUAUGGCAAUACCUUUAAAAGUUAUGGCUUAUCUACCAAGCUUUAUCCACAAAAGUAAAGAAUUGAUGAAAAACAGUGAAGAUCAAAUGUUCAUCUCAAAACUGCUUUUACAAAAGCAGAAUAGAAAUGAAGUGAAAAUGCUGCAUUAAGCCUGGAGUAAAAAGAAGCUGAGCUUGUUGAGAUGAGUGGGAUCGAGCGGCUGCGAGGCGGUGCAGUGUGCCAAUGUUUCGUUUGCCUCAGACAGGUUUCUCUUCAUAAGCAGAAGAGUUGCUUCAUUCCAUCUCGGAGCAGGAAACAGCAGACUGCUGUUGACAGAUAAGUGUAACUUGGAUCUGCAGUAUUGCAUGUUAGGGAUAGAUAAGUGCCUUUUUUCUCUUUUUCCAAAAAGACCUGUAGAGCUGUUGAAUGUUUGCAGCUGGCCCCUCUUAGGCAGUUCAGAAUUUUGAGUAGUUUUCCCAUCCAGCCUCUUAAAAAUUCCUAAGCCUUGCACCGAUGGGCUUUCAUGAUGGGAUAGCUAAUAGGCUUUUGCAUCGUAAACUUCAACACAAAAGCCUACAUGAUUAAUGCCUACUUUAAUUACAUUGCUUACAAGAUUAAGGAAUCUUUAUCUUGAAGACCCCAUGAAAGGGAUCAUUAUGUGCUGAAAAUUAGAUGUUCAUAUUGCUAAAAUUUAAAUGUGCUCCAAUGUACUUGUGCUUAAAAUCAUUAAAUUAUACAAAUUAAUAAAAUACUUCACUAGAGAAUGUAUGUAUUUAGAAGGCUGUCUCCUUAUUUAAAUAAAGUCUUGUUUGUUGUCUGUA
Molecule: long non-coding RNA, 1580 nt
Filed under: Mus musculus (house mouse)
Lineage: Eukaryota; Metazoa; Chordata; Mammalia; Rodentia; Muridae
Description: metastasis associated lung adenocarcinoma transcript 1 (non-coding RNA)
Rfam family: Metastasis associated lung adenocarcinoma transcript 1 (bases 836-921)
Source: RNAcentral